AUGAUUUAAACUUAUGAGUAAGGAGAAAAAUUGUUUGGGGAGAUGCCCAAAUCUUCACUGCUAAUGUAAGAUGAAUUUUUGAAUAGGUAAAAUUUGCCCUAAGGUGACCCACCUACUUUCUGGGAUGACUGGGAGUCAUGAUCUGCCUG
Molecule: small nuclear RNA, 149 nt
Organism: Hyaena hyaena (striped hyena)
Lineage: Eukaryota; Metazoa; Chordata; Mammalia; Carnivora; Hyaenidae
Product: U12 minor spliceosomal RNA
Exons: 1
Source: RefSeq, a predicted model, not a curated record